Molecule: small RNA, 85 nt
Filed under: Salipaludibacillus aurantiacus
Lineage: Bacteria; Bacillati; Bacillota; Bacilli; Caryophanales; Bacillaceae
Description: BsrC
Rfam family: BsrC
About the family: The 301 nucleotide sequence from Kouji Nakamura has been trimmed to a highly conserved ~85 nucleotide long core to form this family.
Source: RNAcentral
GUUACUAAAUAAUGAAAGCCCUGCCUCUCUUUCAUCCUUGCGGCUCCGAGACCGCGCCAGUGUAACUCAGGCAUACUCGAAGUGU